UCAGGACAACUUGUUUUUCCCCCAACAGAAAUCACUAGAUUAAUCUAUCGAGAUACCAUGAAUAACCUCUCCGCAUCUAUAAUGUAACAGAUAUUAUUGCAGCCGAUCUCCACCUUCUCUGAUGUAGUACAAAUUAGUAAAAUAUAUUCCCCCAUUUUCAUUGGUCUUUCUCUAUCUUUCGUGUAUUUUUUUAAUAAACACGUCUCUCUUUUCAUGUACCAUAAAUAUAUCUUUGUUCAUAGCUUUUCUUAGUCUAUUGAUGAAAUAUAAAGAGAAUGCAUAAAAAAUGACAAGCACAUACGCAUCUAUAAUCAACAAAAUACUAAAUUAACACGAAAGCAGAUAAUUAUAAUAAAAAAUUAGUUUAUGAGCUUAUUGGGUAGUUUCACUAUAUUUUUUUUUCUCCCUACCAUUAGAGCUAUUCAUGGACCAAAUUUUGAAAUUAUACUAUAUUCAUUUUUAGUCAAACUUCGGAC
RNAcentral lists this long non-coding RNA (476 nucleotides) under Phoenix dactylifera (date palm). Its description in RNAcentral is "long non-coding RNA (PDAC_LNC012062)". Lineage: Eukaryota; Viridiplantae; Streptophyta; Magnoliopsida; Arecales; Arecaceae. The record is from RNAcentral.